Molecule: non-coding RNA, 24 nt
Filed under: Arabidopsis thaliana (thale cress)
Lineage: Eukaryota; Viridiplantae; Streptophyta; Magnoliopsida; Brassicales; Brassicaceae
Source: RNAcentral
AGGUAGCCCUAAAUAAUUAACAAU